Molecule: ribosomal RNA, 409 nt
Filed under: bacterium
Lineage: Bacteria
Description: partial 16S ribosomal RNA
Rfam family: Bacterial small subunit ribosomal RNA
Source: RNAcentral
UGGGGAAUAGUGCACAAUGGGCGAAAGCCUGAUGCAGCGACGCCGCGUGAGGGAUGACGGCCUUCGGGUUGUAAACCUCUUUCAGUAGGGACGAAGCGCAAGUGACGGUACCUGCAGAAGAAGCACCGGCUAACUACGUGCCAGCAGCCGCGGUAAUACGUAGGGUGCGAGCGUUGUCCGGAAUUACUGGGCGUAAAGAGCUCGUAGGCGGUUUGUCACGUCGUCUGUGAAAUCCUAGGGCUUAACCCUGGGCGUGCAGGCGAUACGGGCUGACUUGAGUACUACAGGGGAGACUGUAAUUUCUGGUGUAGCGGUGGAAUGCACAGAUAUCAGGAAGAGCACCGAUGGCGAAGGCAGGUCUCUGGGUAGUAACUGACGCUGAGGAGCGAAAGCAUGGGUAGCGAACAGG